RNAcentral lists this transfer RNA (85 nucleotides) under Saprospiraceae bacterium. RNAcentral describes it as "tRNA-Ser". It matches the Rfam family "tRNA". From Rfam's summary of the family: Transfer RNA (tRNA) molecules are approximately 80 nucleotides in length. Their secondary structure includes four short double-helical elements and three loops (D, anti-codon, and T loops). Further hydrogen bonds mediate the characteristic L-shaped molecular structure. tRNAs have two regions of fundamental functional importance: the anti-codon, which is responsible for specific mRNA codon recognition, and the 3' end, to which the tRNAs corresponding amino acid is attached (by aminoacyl-tRNA synthetases). tRNAs cope with the degeneracy of the genetic code in two manners: having more than one tRNA (with a specific anti-codon) for a particular amino acid; and 'wobble' base-pairing, i.e. permitting non-standard base-pairing at the 3rd anti-codon position. Lineage: Bacteria; Pseudomonadati; Bacteroidota; Saprospiria; Saprospirales; Saprospiraceae. The record is from RNAcentral.
GGAGAGGUGCUCGAGUGGUUGAAGAGGCACGCCUGGAAAGCGUGUAUACCGCAAGGUAUCGAGGGUUCGAAUCCCUCUCUCUCCG